GACGAACGCUGGCGGCGUGCUUAACACAUGCAAGUCGAACGGAAAGGCCCUGCUUUUGUGGGGUGCUCGAGUGGCGAACGGGUGAGUAACACGUGAGUAACCUGCCCUUGACUUUGGGAUAACUUCAGGAAACUGGGGCUAAUACCGGAUAGGAGCUCCUGCUGCAUGGUGGGGGUUGGAAAGUUUCGGCGGUUGGGGAUUGACUCGCGGCUUAUCAGCUUGUUGGUGGGGUAGUGGCUUACCAAGGCUUUGACGGGUUGCCGGCCUGAGAGGGUGACCGGCCACAUUGGGACUGAGAUACGGCCCAGACUCCUACGGGAGGCAGCAGUGGGGAAUAUUGCACAAUGGGCGGAAGCCUGAUGCAGCAACGCCGCGUGCGGGAUGACGGCCUUCGGGUUGUAAACCGCUUUCGCCUGUGACGAAGCGUGAGUGACGGUAAUGGGUAAAGAAGCACCGGCUAACUACGUG
Molecule: ribosomal RNA, 468 nt
Filed under: uncultured bacterium
Lineage: Bacteria
Description: partial 16S ribosomal RNA
Rfam family: Bacterial small subunit ribosomal RNA
Source: RNAcentral